RNAcentral lists this long non-coding RNA (410 nucleotides) under Cercocebus atys (sooty mangabey). RNAcentral describes it as "lncRNA (ENSCATG00000045707.1)". Lineage: Eukaryota; Metazoa; Chordata; Mammalia; Primates; Cercopithecidae. The record is from RNAcentral.
GAGGCCACUCCCUGGGCCUCCUGCUAUGCACUGGGCUCAGUGCUUAUCUCACGCUAAGUGACCUCUUUAUAUUCCUAAAAUGUUUGAAACCCAUCUGCUGAUUUAGCCUGCGGAAGGAAUUUGUUUUUAUAGUUAAUAUCAAUAUAUUGAAGCUACGUAGCCAGAGAAAAUGAUUUUCAUAUUUCAAUCACAUAACAAAUGAGGAACCACGACUGGGAGCUGCAUCCCCAGAGGGCGGUGCUCUGCAUGGCAAACCGUGAUCUAUUUCACUGAGCACGCGUGUUGACAGCAGCAGAGGGUCGGCUGAGUCUGGAAGUGAGAGUGUCAGAAGAACCAGAGGGUCAAGGACGAGAUGCGAGCACAGGAGACAUCUGGACCCCAGACCGAGAGCAAGGGCCGGCAGGUGGGGU